RNAcentral lists this RNase P RNA (179 nucleotides) under Klebsiella michiganensis. RNAcentral describes it as "partial RNase P RNA component class A". It matches the Rfam family "Bacterial RNase P class A", at positions 1 to 154 of the family's 367-position model. Rfam says of the family: Ribonuclease P (RNase P) is a ubiquitous endoribonuclease, found in archaea, bacteria and eukarya as well as chloroplasts and mitochondria. Its best characterised activity is the generation of mature 5'-ends of tRNAs by cleaving the 5'-leader elements of precursor-tRNAs. Lineage: Bacteria; Pseudomonadati; Pseudomonadota; Gammaproteobacteria; Enterobacterales; Enterobacteriaceae. The record is from RNAcentral.
GAAGCUGACCAGACAGUCGCCGCUUCGUCGUCGUCCUCUUCGGGGGAGACGGGCGGAGGGGAGGAAAGUCCGGGCUCCAUAGGGCAGGGUGCCAGGUAACGCCUGGGGGGCGCAAGCCCACGACCAGUGCAACAGAGAGCAAACCGCCGAUGGCCCACGUAAGUGGGAUCAGGUAAGGG